UCAUGUUAACGGUAAGUUUCUAACUUACCGCUUAACAUCGAGUGUUAAAUAUGCUAGUCCUUUCAUGAUUAUGUGAUAGGUGGUGCAUGGCCGUUCUUAGUUCGUGGAGUGAUCUGUCUGCUUAAUUGCGUUUCACUAAGGGCCCAUAAAUUCAAGGUAUGUUAGCUCUCGUCGCUCUAUGGACCCCUUAACUCCAAUAUUCUUAUUGUGUUAAGCGCGUGUCUUUAUUUUAAGAGUUUUAAGACACUGCGCAUG
RNAcentral lists this ribosomal RNA (255 nucleotides) under Neogloboquadrina pachyderma. RNAcentral's name for it is "partial small subunit ribosomal RNA". The record is from RNAcentral. Lineage: Eukaryota; Foraminifera; Rotaliida; Globorotaliidae.